RNAcentral lists this ribosomal RNA (253 nucleotides) under uncultured bacterium. Its description in RNAcentral is "partial 16S ribosomal RNA". It matches the Rfam family "Bacterial small subunit ribosomal RNA", at positions 524 to 776 of the family's 1533-position model. The record is from RNAcentral.
UACGUAGGUGGCAAGCGUUGUCCGGAUUUACUGGGCGUAAAGAGCGCGCAGGCGGUCGGAUAAGUCGAAUGUGAAAGCCCCCGGCUCAACUGGGGAGGGUCAUUCGAUACUGUUCGACUCGAAGGCAGGAGAGGGAAGUGGAAUUCCCAGUGUAGAGGUGAAAUUCGUAGAUAUUGGGAAGAACACCAGUGGCGAAGGCGGCUAACUGGUCCAGCACUGACGCUGAGGUGCGAAAGCGUGGGGAGCAAACAGG